Molecule: ribosomal RNA, 277 nt
Filed under: uncultured bacterium
Lineage: Bacteria
Description: partial 16S ribosomal RNA
Rfam family: Bacterial small subunit ribosomal RNA
Source: RNAcentral
GACGAACGCUGGCGGCGCGCUUAACACAUGCAAGUCGAGCGAGAACCGGAGCUUGCUCCGGGGACAGCGGCGAACGGGUGAGUAACACGUGGGUAAUCUGCCCUCGAUUCUGGGAUAGCCCGGGGAAACUCGGAUUAAUACCGGAUAGCCUUUCGAGCUCUCGAGCUUGAAAGAAAAGGUAGCUUCGGCCUCCGAUCGAGGAUGAGCCCGCGGCGGAUUAGCUUGUUGGCGGGGUAAUGGCCCACCAAGGCGACGAUCCGUAGCUGGUCUGAGAGGA